UUCUACCUCCUGCCAGAUCUCUGCUCAGCUGGAUCUGGGCUGCUGAGUCCCUCCCUCCGCAAGUGCUUCAGAUCUGCUUCAAGGAGACCAUAUAAAAGGAAGUGUGGCCCCCAUGUUCCCCAGAUGGGCACGGGUGGCUGAAAUGACCCUGAAGCCAUGCCAGACCUUCCCUCACAGCCCCCAAUGCUGUCACAACCUUUGAGUUAGGAAAGGCCUGGCCUAGGCUGUAGCUUGAGCAGCCCACACAGCACCUUGCUUAGACAGGGCCCGAGACCAAUGCAUGUCCCUCCUCCCCAGGUGUCCCCACGUCAGAAGGGUCCCCCACAGCCUGGCCACAGACUCGUGAGUGCACUUGAACAUCUCCAGCAGAAUAAACAGGGAGCUGACAGGUCAGACUAAGGAAGGGGCAGCCCCAGGACAUGGCUGUAGAGGCCAGGUGGGAAGGCAGGAACUGCAUGGGCAACGUGCGUAAGGCCCGCACACUGCGGGCGCUUGGCAAACAGCUGCUGAAUGCGUGUCUGCAUGGCUUUGACUGUGGUUCCAGUCCCUUGAGGGGGGCCUUUCCUUCCCAACCAAGCAGCAGAGAGAGUUUUGUACAGCACGGCGCUUGAGGUAAGGGUGGCUCUGGCAAGCCGGGCCACUUAAGGUGACCUUUUAAAUCUAUAGCAGAGCCUACAGUCUUGAAAGCAGCAGGUUUCACUGUUAAGAGCCAGAUGUCCUGAAACAGAAAAGGGUUUUUUCAAUCCUAACACCUGGCUUUAAAUAACAAAUACUAAAAAAGCCUGCAGGAGCUCAAAAUUAAAUGGAAAAGGCGGAGACCUUCCAGUUACUCAGGGCCUUCAAGUUCAAGGCGUGUGGUAGAAGAAAGAAGAAUGUCACAGGAGUCUGGAGCUUGAGGGUUUCUUUAAGACUCGGCCUUAGGGGUGAGGGAUGUUUGCCAGAAAAUGAUAAAAUUCCCAUUAGAUUUAGGGGCAUUCUAAGACCAAAGAGGCCUUGUAUGCUGUCCAGCGUCUGAGCAGUGGGGUGGGGAGGGCUCUAGAUGUGAGCCCUGAGAUCAGCACCCCGGGGACUAUAAAAAGCCCCAGAAGAUGUGGACAUGGUCGGCAGAGGGGUGGAGCAGGCCAGGCCAGUGGGUGAGACAAGAACAGCACCGUACAGGCCACAGCAGAGCCACCGACAUCAACAGCAAGACAGAGGUCGACACCCCAGGCCAGGGAGGGAAAGUCAUGAAUCAGCAAAGGCACGGGGAGGAGAGGCCCUUUCCUGAGUGACAGUAAAGAGGGCAACCCUACCAGAAAUUUAGACCAACCUGGGAGAGAAGGGAAAAAGAGUUAAGAAUCCUGAAAUUACUGAUUUUUUUGUUAUCAAAAAAGGCUGAGUUUUAAACCCCAAAUGACUGAACUGCCUUGAAUUAGGAAGCCUAAAUUUUCCAUUAUUAAAGAACAGAAGAGAUUGUGAGCUAGGUUAAUUUCAAUCAUAUCUCCUCAUCCCUAAUGAGAUGGUAAGAUUCACGUGAGCACCUAUAGGGAGCUGAAAGGGCAGCUCACAGGGAGAAGCCUGACCCCACUUGGUCUUGUCCUGGCUGCCCAAAGCUGACCCGCAGGAAACCACACCACCCCGGCCUGCGGAGAGUGCCGAAGUGACUCCUCCAUGCGGUGCCUGCCCUGCUGGGAGCUGAGGGCUGGGCUCUGGGAUCUCAGAGCUUAGAGGCCAGGACCUGGCCCUUCCAUUCACAGAUGGGAAAACUGAGGCCAGAGGGCGUGGGCUGGCCCACAGCCAUAAACCCCAUCCAGAGUUCUUCUCCAAGUGCUGUUUCCAGCAUGGGGCACCUGGGGCUCUAGGGCCCAGAUACAGACACAGCCUUGACUCCACUCUAAAAAUGCCACGGCACUCCUCUGUCCGUCAUUUGGCCUUCCGUGAGACGGCCACACUAGUCACCAGCCGUGGCUAGUGACUCAAGUCUGUUUCCCCUGCAGUAAUGGGACAGUGACAGGACCUGUUCACAGCACCACGACGAGGACUGAGGAGGUGCUCACCUAGGCAUCAAGGCGGCCUGGCUGGUUUCUCGUUCCCGUACACAAUUUCUCUGGUUCCAAAAAUCAGUCUCCAGUUGUCCACUUCUCUGCGGGUGCAGAGGGAAGCCAGGUCAUCUUCCCUGUGGACUGGCUGCACGGAGACCUCUGGUUGCUGCGAGGCCCAGAGUCCCAGGAGACUGCACAAAGCCCCUCGGAGAAGAGCCUUUCUCAAGACCUCCCCUGUGAAUCCCUCACUUACUUGUUGACCCUGAAGCAGUGAGCGGCAGUGAGCAACCAGUGGGAAUUCAGCAAGGUGCCUCCGCAUGCGUGAUACCUCCGGUUAUUGUGGGCCGUGAAGACCUGAAGGCUGACCACCCAGGGCCAGGCCCCCUUGGCCGCAUCCUGCCCUCCGACGAUGCGGACGUUCCAUGACACUGCCAAGACCAGAACAGCAGUUGGCAGCAGCAUCUUCACUAACUCCCGCCCAACCUGGCGUGGAAGCCGGUGACCUCACAGAGCUCCAGGCCUCUGGCCAAUCAGCAGGGCAGCCUCACACCCCCGCCCGCAGCAGUCAUCAGGGCAGGAGGCUCAACUGAGUGGGUCCCUGCCUGGGGAGCAGCCCCUUCCUCCGUCCCAAGGCCAGGA
This is a long non-coding RNA of Manis javanica (Malayan pangolin), 2660 nucleotides long. RefSeq lists it as uncharacterized. The record is from RefSeq and is a predicted model, not a curated record. Lineage: Eukaryota; Metazoa; Chordata; Mammalia; Pholidota; Manidae.